Molecule: ribosomal RNA, 80 nt
Filed under: Caerostris darwini
Lineage: Eukaryota; Metazoa; Arthropoda; Arachnida; Araneae; Araneidae
Source: RNAcentral
CUCGUUAGAUCACCGAAGUCAAGCAUCAUUGGGCGCGGUCAGUACUUGGGUGGGUGACCACCUGGGAACACCGCGUGCCG